AUAUCCCUGCGGUGCGCGUGAUUGGAUCGAAUCAUCUUGAGCCAAAAGAAUCUUGAGCCAUUAGCACUAAACUAGGGAGCCUAACUUUACAGAUACCUCGGUAUUUGUAAGAGGGCACCCACCUGUUACAUAACAGGGUCAAGAUAAUUCAUCUCACACGGCAUUGUGGGGAUUUU
Molecule: non-coding RNA, 176 nt
Filed under: Candidatus Omnitrophota bacterium
Lineage: Bacteria; Pseudomonadati; Candidatus Omnitrophota
Description: 6S RNA
Rfam family: 6S / SsrS RNA
About the family: E. coli 6S RNA was the first non coding RNA to be sequenced, but its function was unknown until recently. It consists of 184 nucleotides that fold into an extended hairpin structure with a large single-stranded internal bulge. The 6S RNA specifically associates with RNA polymerase holoenzyme containing the sigma70 specificity factor.
Source: RNAcentral